GUAGAAUCCAAUUUUGCAAUCGUAUGUACUCGGCUAUUUCCGUAAUAGAAAACAUAUACGCUAUUCAUUUUUUGAAAACCUGGAAUGAUGUUCUAGGUAUCUGAUAUUUUGCCAAACCUUUGAUAAAUAUUUUCAUCAGAUUUCUUCCUAAAAAAAUAAUUCUCCCCUUAUUUUAAAUUCAAAGCCUUCUUUUGAUUAAGUUAAAUAGCAUUAACGGAACGCGGGAACAUCAUAGCUUUGUACAUUUGUACACCAAUUUUGGUUUCUAUACUAGAGUUCAAGUGUUGUUACUGUUGAAGGAAACCAGGACACUUUAAAUUACAAUGAGAAAAAGGUGUGCAUAAUAAAAACAAAUGUUUCUAAAUUAAAUUUGAUUCUUAACCGGGUAUAUAUAAGCAUUUUAAAUGGUUUGAAAAUUUGUUUACGCAAUGUUUAUUAAUAGUCUUUCAUUGAUUUUAUAUGAAUGCAUGUACGAAUGUUGUGUUGAUAAAAGGUAACACUAGUGUAUAGAUAUUAUAAAAUCAAUUAUUCAAUGUUUAUGAUUAGCUAUUUUGAUACAUGCACUCAGCAGCUGCAUUGUGCUUUUAAUCAUGGCGAGCUUUACAUGCUUGUAAUAGGGAAUCAUGACAACUCGGACCAAAAACAAAUCGGACCAUUUAGUAUCUCAAACAUUUAUGUAUUGAUUCAUAAUUGGCAUGAACUGUGUUUCAAACUGAUCCUAGUGGUCUUUUAUACUGGCCCAAAUUGUCUUCCUAUAUGAUUCAAGUCGUCUUAAAAUUUGUCUGAGUAGGCUUCGUCCGACUUGUCUUCGCUCUGGGCUGUCACAUAUUCAUGUAACAAAUAUAUUGUAUUUUAUAUGCGUCCAAAUUUCACAUAAGAAUCAAAUUUUGUGUUGUUGUUAUCCUUGCUGUACUUAAAAUAACAUCAUGACCCGCAGGCGGGUUUUAAGGAAGAGAUAAAAAUUUGAACGCUUAACUUUUAGUGUUGGUUACCUUGAGCAGUAACUAUAUUCCAAAUAAGUUCUCUUUAUACGGACAUAAGUGUUGAAAGUCUUUCAACACUUAUGUCCGUAUAUUAAGUUAUUGACUGGUCUAAUGCAAUACGAAGCAGUUGUUUCUUUGGAUAGUCUCUGCAUGAAUUAUUCUAACAGUAGCAAGAACCUUUCGUUUUCAAAUGCCAUGAAAGCAUCUAUGUUAACAUGUGUUUUUUAAAAAGAUAUUUAUUGUUAUGCGUAUUUAUUAUUUUGUUUUUUAUAAGCAGUAUGAAAAAGCAUUGGAAAUUCGUCAUUUUACGACUUAUCAUAUGAUUCUUGUUUUGAAUUAUAUGAAGUGAGAUCUCUUUAUCAUGAGUUCUUUUCAUCGAAACUGGUUUAAGAUUGUCACGUGAUUUAUCCGUUUUUUGUCACGUGGUUCAUCCUUUUUUUCAGUCACGUGAUUUAAUCUUAUUUUUGACACGUGAUAUAUCUUUAUUUUUCUAUACGUGAUUUAUCCUUUUUUUGUCACUUGAUAUAUCCUCUUUUCCAGUCAUGUGAUUUAUUCUUUUUUUUGUCUCGUGAUUUAUUAUUUUUUAAGUCGCGUGAAUCAAUGUUUGCAAAUCACAUGCAUACAUAUUUUGCCUCAAAAUCAGUUAUAGCACACUAAAUGUCGAUCAAUUAGUUGUGACGAGUUGCACAAAGAACGAAUUUUAUAUCUGUGAAUUUUACUUAGCGAAUGAACUUUCAAUGCUGUAUUUAAACUGUUUGUAUAUAUUUAAAUAUUUUUGUGUUUGUUGUAACGUUAUGUAUGCAUAUCUCCAUUUAUGUAUAAAUGGCUCAGGAUAAAAGUGAUAUUGUCUUUUUGAUAUUGUUGAGAUGGUAGGAUGUGUAAGUUAAUAAAU
Molecule: long non-coding RNA, 1875 nt
Filed under: Mytilus galloprovincialis (Mediterranean mussel)
Lineage: Eukaryota; Metazoa; Mollusca; Bivalvia; Mytilida; Mytilidae
Source: RNAcentral